UCCUAAGGAGUAUCAUUUUACGAUUUCGCAAUCGAGUUAUCUACUUCGCAACGCACCCCCAUUGACGUCGAUAAACUUUCUCCACCAUCACCAUCACCAUCACCAUCACCGCCUUCGACCGCCCGGUCCAUCUUCUCCGGCGAUCUGUCCCGGCCGGUUCAUCCGAUCGGUGCAAGCGUGAAUUGCUCUCAAGGAUUCGAAUUUUAGGGUUUGAUUUGAUUGAAUUACACGAAAUUAGCACUUGAGUUGAGUUUAAAGAUCGAUUCGAAUUGACAAAUUAUAGAGGGAAUCAUACGAAGCUAGAGUUGAUGCACGGAGUCUAGAUACAGAUUAGAGCAGCUCUUCCAAAGUUGUGUCAUCGACAUUCUCGGCCCUCGGGUGAAGUGGACAAGCGUAUUAGAAAUUUGUAUAUCCCAGUGUUCUGGCCUAUUGUCAAGUGACGUAAAUGUCAGCAAAUUGCGUGGGGGACGGGGAUUGGGAACUUUCCGCCAAUGAAGACUCUUUCUCUAAUAGAUGUUUCCGCCAUUGAUGAUGGCUUUUGGUUGUUGCAGGAAACUUCCCAGUAAUGAUUUACUCGACGAACUUUAUAACAUGAACCGUUCAAAUUAUCGAAAGAGGCUCAAGAUGACACUCCACAAAGGAGGACAACAGCCAUCUGCGCCAAAAGGCACAAUAGUAUCCUCAAAUCCCGAAAAUACAGGUGUAAGUUACACAUUUUACCAUAUGGAUAGUGUUUGAGACCCUCUCCAAAAGAGGACUCCCACAACCUCCAACCAUCCAUGUGUUUGAAUUUUUUUUUUGCAUCUUUGAUAGUGACGUGAAUGUUUCAAAUUAUUUUGGAGACUGUGAGAGUUGUGUUUUAUAAGAAUCUCUAUCAUUACUAUUUACUGUACCUCUCGUGUAGAUGGAGCACCUGCCAGUGCCAACCCAUCCCAAAAAAGAUGAAACAGUUGAUUUUCCGUGAAAUGCAUGCAUUCUUGGAUUACAGCAAUA
Long non-coding RNA from Camellia sinensis, 993 nucleotides. RefSeq lists it as uncharacterized. Lineage: Eukaryota; Viridiplantae; Streptophyta; Magnoliopsida; Ericales; Theaceae. The record is from RefSeq and is a predicted model, not a curated record.